RNAcentral lists this ribosomal RNA (517 nucleotides) under uncultured bacterium. RNAcentral describes it as "bacterial SSU rRNA". It matches the Rfam family "Bacterial small subunit ribosomal RNA", at positions 29 to 518 of the family's 1533-position model. The record is from RNAcentral.
ACGAACGCUGGCGGCGUGCCUAAUACAUGCAAGUCGAACGGUCUUUCUAUGGAAGCUUGCUUCCACUGAGAAGAUAGUGGCGGACGGGUGAGUAACACGUGGGUAACCUGCCCAUAAGAGGGGGGAUAACAUCCGGAAACGGGUGCUAAUACCGCAUAGUUUUCUUGAUCGCAUGAUUGAGAAAGGAAAGACGGCCUUUGUGCUGUCGCUUAUGGAUGGACCCGCGGCGUAUUAGUUAGUUGGUGAGGUAAUGGCUCACCAAGACGAUGAUACGUAGCCGACCUGAGAGGGUGAUCGGCCACAUUGGGACUGAGACACGGCCCAAACUCCUACGGGAGGCAGCAGUAGGGAAUCUUCCGCAAUGGACGAAAGUCCGACGGAGCAACGCCGCGUGAGUGAAGAAGGUUUUCGGAAUCGUAAAACUCUGUUGUCAGAGAAGAACAAGUUGGAGAGUAACUGCUCCAGCCUUGACGGUAUCUGGCCAGAAAGCCACGGCUAACUACGUGCCAGCAGCAGC